ACAACUUUAUCAUGUUGAAAUGAAAACCCAGAAGCACCAACUGUUUGAAUAGCAGGAAAACAUUCAGGAGAGCUCUGUGAAAGGUGAUUUUUACCAUAAUAAUCAUAUUGUGUAGGCUUCAUGGUACUGGUGGUGUUAUAUGCUCCAGAUGACAGGCCAGAGAAGUCCUUAGAAUGAUGAUCAUGAGGAAGGGAAGAUCUCUUGAGGAACUUACGGUUCCCAUCAAUGCCAAUUGGUGCACCAGACGGCAAUUGUGCAUCCAUGAGGCUAAGUAGAUGCAUAGCUGGAAUGGUUUCAUUAGAAUACACAUCUAGAGGCCUUGAUCUGCUAUGUUUGCAAGCAAAUGGAUACUCUGCAUGUGGCCUGCUGAGAGAUUCAGAGUCGAAGGUCCUACUAUGCUUUUCAAUAUUGGUGACAUCAAUGUUCCAAAAGUUCAGAUCAUGAUUCCCAUCCACAUUACCCUUGUGCAGACUAGGACAAUGAGAAAGCAUGUCUGCAUUUGUAGAUUGACUGGCAUGCUUUUGAUGAAUAUCAUAUAUAAAGGGCGGGAUCAUGGAUGACCAAAGAUGAGCAGUUUCUUUACCCUGUUGUGGAACAUUCUGGCAUGAGUUACAACCUCCCAAUGUCUGCAAAUUAGUCUGAGAGGUCCUGUGCCCCAAUAUAUUCCCAAUCCAUUGGCAAUUUUGAGAAAUACGAUGUUUGCUGGAACUUGUAUCAGAAAAUUUGAUUCCAUUUGGUAGUUUUCCUUGACAAUGAGCAAAUGGCAUAAAUCCUGAAGCGCAAUGAGUUUGUUCCAAUGGGCUCACGUUAAAAUGCUUUCUACCAAUAUGAGGGAGGCAAUCAACUGACUUUCGUUUCCUAGUUCCACCAUUUUCAGGUCUUGCAAUCUUGCCAUUUCUACCAAUUUUAGCUAGAGGUUUUGGUUUUUGAGGAGUCUCAUUGGACAAAAAACUCAACUUCUCUUUUGCAUAAAUCGGAGCAUUACUGUGGUUGAUGGUAGUUUCUAGCAUUUUUUCAUUUUCAACAUCAGGUAGACACCUCUCAUACUGAUUCUUUGCCAUCAGUUCAACAAUUUCCAUAGGUAUGUCGUCUGGAACUCCCUGUUCAGACACUUUAUCAGCUUGUUGAUCACUAGGUUUCAUAGUCAAAGCUGAAUGUUCAUUGAUUUCUGUAGAUUUCCCUUUGUUACCUCUACUGCAAAAAUCCUGCAAAUAGUAGUUAUCAUUGUCUCAGAACAAAGUGUACCAAAAGCACUGACAUGUCAUAUUCACAGAGACAACAGAAAAAUCCAGAAGGGCAACCAAAAAUAGAUGGGCAAAAUUUGCUGACACAAAGCUCAAAAGGGACUCCAUAAACAUUUUACAGUGCCAAACCACUAAAUGUUGAGGCAGUGAUGUAUUUUUUUUGGUUCAUAACUGGGAAAAUUUUGCUGAUCCAAAGUUUGGGUUUGGUUUGCACUCAACAAGACCUUGUACACAUCAUUUCCAAUGAACUAUUCAAUAAAGAAACAUAAGACAAAAACUCCCCCAGCAUUAAUAAUAUAUAGAGCAGGGACUGAUCACUAUACAACAAAAUAAUAUCAAAAAAGGCUAAAGGUGAGCUAAAUAAAACUUAAAAAAAAAUGAAGCAAUUCUCCUUCAACUAAGAUGCUAAACAGAAAUAUAACAGAAACUCAAUACAGCAGCACCAAAAAGACAAGGAUAGCUCAUACCAUUGGCUGCAUCAGAGAACGACCCCCAGCAUCCACCUGAGGAGUGAACUUCUGCUUUUCAUUUAGGAAAGACAUUCUAUAAUUUUCCCUACUGAGAUCACAAUGUACUCCCUUUCGAAGAAAUGAAACUGAUUCUGAUUUAGAAUGAUAAUCGGAAUCCCCUACACAGUUUGUCUGGAUAUCUUUUCCCAUGACCCCAUUUUCUUUUGAACUACCCCCUCGCCAAGGAAACUGACUGUGUUCUAGUGGAGAAAAAUAUUUGCUUUCAUAUCCUUGUGUGGUGAAGCAGCUAUUUAGAGAAAGUUGCAGCCCUUUUCCAGUGGUGGCAUCUUGUGAUGAUUGAAACGGAGAAAUUGUUGAAUGCAUCUGCUUGAUCUCUACAUCUUUUCUUCUUGCUGGACCUUCUUUCAGCAUGUCACUACUCCAAGGGAUUAGAGGAGCCUGCCAUUCAUCAAAUUGGGUCGUCUUGCUUUUCUUCUUGCACACACUAGAACUUCUCUCUGACUUCUGAGGAGGCAAAGCAAAAGGAUACAUUCCCCUGCUUAUAAAUGCAGUUUGUGCCGAUUCCAACAAGAAAGAAUCAGAAGGACUGUCGUUGUUAGAAUCUCCAGUUCUAUCUUGCAUAUCUUCUAGCAUAUUUCCUCCGGACGGUGCUAAGGACAAAAAUUCAUCAGCAACCAGGCUCUUAUUUCUCUUCUUACCUAUAGGACUUCUAUCAAACCUGAAUUUGUUCAAACGGCUGUUUACACCAAUAUGUAGGUCUAUAUCAGCAUCUUCUUUUGUAUCCAAACUUGCCAGUGCACCAAUGGUUUCUGCACUUUCAGUGCAGGUACUAUUUUUUCUAUGGAAAUUAUUCGGGGAGCUUUUUUCUAAGGGAUCCGGUUCUUCAUCAUGAGGGAACUUCCUUUUCUUAUUUUGAUCCAAAGGCCUAAUAGAAUUUCCUUGGGCAGCCACCAGACCCUGGGGAUCAGAGAGUAUAUCUAUCCCUGCAGACGAACCAGGAACAGAAUUGGAGGGAGAACUUUCAGUCAUGGUUAGAUUAGCUUUUAUAUCCCCAUUUUCAGCCAACAACUCAGUCAGCAGACGCACUUUUCUGGUUUUUCUUCGAUGUGAACCACUUGAGCUAUCAUGAUGAUGGUCCUGCAGAUCAUGUCCAGACAAUGUCUCAUCACUAUCAGAUGGUGCAUUAUCACACUCAUCUAGUUCAUGAGAAGGAUGUUCAAUUGCAAGAUCCUUGGCAGCAGCAAGCACCUCAUCAACCAUACCAACUACUCUGGAUGGCCCACAAGCUAUCAUUAACUUCUUAUUUUUUUCCUCCGCAGAAGGUUGUUUACCUGUUUGACAAAUUUCAACGGAAUUCUUAAACAUGUAUUUGAGUUUUUCAUUAGAAAGCUCCAUCUCAGCAGCUUCAUGACUUUCACAGUUAGGUUUGCAGUAUUUGCAACAAAUCCAUUGCAAUUUGUCUUGAGAGAUACUAUUUUAUAAAUCACAACUAUUAUCAUAGCAACAAGUACACUUCCAGCUUCAGUUUAGAAGCUGGUAGUAUUAUGUAGCAUACUUGAUUAGCAAUUCCAAAUAAUUUUACCUAUUUCAACAGCAUGAUGUCUUCCUGUCAUUAACCCAGAAGUAACAGCUGUUGGGGCACCAGCUGAUUCAAGAACUUCAUGAUUCAUCUUAUCUUCAGGACAACUCUCAUCCACUGGGGGAAAAAAAAUUCAAACAGAUAAUCCAACAUAGAGAAUAAGUUAGCAUAAUGGAAUGAAACCUUGUAUUAAACUAUACCUGUGGCAGGAGUGUUAGUGGGUUCAGAUUUCUUUCUAUUCUUGUCAUCGUGUGAUGGAAGACAGCAGUCAUUGACAUUCAGGUCAGUGGCAAUACUAGCAGUAGCAUCAAAUUUUCUUCCAGCAGAAAUAUUCAGUUUUCGAGCUUGCCCAAUAGCUGAUUGCAGCAUUGCAGCAUCCCCAAAGGAUGACAUAUGGGGACAAGUCCCAGUGGAUUUAAAACUAGUACUGCUACAAUAAUUACAGCUAUUUCCAUAACCAUAAGUGUUACCUUCAGAACCCAGUUCCUGUAAGCAGUUUUGGCAACGCCACCAUCUGAACUUUGCAACAUGUAAGGGAGGAAGUGCAUGUGCUUCCUCCUCAGGUUUAUUAUGAUUCUCAUCUAAAGCAAAUGGCCAACAUAACUUCCAGUUUUUCUUCCGAACUUCAGACACAAAUCCACUGCACUCAAACAAGGAGAAUGUGUAAGGAAAUCUUCCAAUGUGAAUGCUCAAGUCAAUAUUCUAUGUCAAACACAAAACUAACACUUGACAAAAUAACUCUCUACACAAUUGCAAACUUAUAUCUGACAUGUAAUCUCCUUAGCUGUCCAGAUUAAAUCAGCAACUUAUCUGUAAUAUGAAUAUUUUCACAACUGUCCUUGCUGCCACCAAAUUAGCUUAGGUCUCUCAAUUUUUUAUUUACACUAAAAAAAAAAAUCUCCAUUGUUGAAAAAUAACAUGCUCAUAUUUCGUCAUCAGGUGUAUAUCAGAAACAUACACACUAAAAAUUCACAAACAAAAACUACAUGCGACUGGAUGUGACAGAAAUUCGCUUGAGCCUGCAGUGUUAAUGCACAGCACAUGCACAACACAUAACUGCAAAGAAAACUUUGGAGUCAUAGUCAUAUUAAAUUGAGAAAGCUUACCGUAUAGAAAAAUGCUCACACUUUCCUGCAUUAGCUUCAUCAUUAUUAACAAGAUCUAUGGAUAUCGAGUCAAUCUUAACAGAUGAUCCCACAGAUUUUGAGACAAGAUCCGAGUCAUCAACCUGAUGAUUCUCCUCCCCCACAAUGUUUCUCUCCAUAUUAUUAGCAACUAAUGCGCAACCUGAACCUAUUCAAUCUGCUACGCACACAAAUCCGAAUAUUAUUUAGUUACAACAUUACCAUGUGCUAAUAUAGGUUAGUAGGCUACAGUUUGAUGAUAUCAGUACACAUGGAAAGCAAUAGUAAACAUCUUGAGUGAUCAAGUACACAAAAAGAUCUAAGGCAAGGUAUCAAACAACAAAGUUUUGAGUCUACCACAAACCAACAAUAAGGGAAACAGGUUGAAACGCCAGUAUGUAAAGUGAUUCGACACAUAAAAUAGCAUCUAGUAUAAACAAAGCACUUAAUACUCAAAAGGAACAAGAUUUGAAACCCUAGUUUUCAAUGAAAUCAAAAGUGAACAUGUUUGCAGUCACUAAUUGCAUGCUUUAAUUACAUUACUAUAACCUAUGUAGCUAAACCAAGUCAUUAUAGAUGGAAAGUAAAUCAAUAAAAUAACACAGCUAAGACAAACCCAACUUAGGGUUUCUAAGAUGAAUCCAUAGACUGUGCCUUAAAACAAAAAGUAGUGUUAAUACUCUCAACAUAAAUGAUAUAAAACAAACCCACUUCAAUACCACCUCUAAAAAAUUCAUUACAUGGUAAAAUCAUUAGCAUCAAUUCCUAAAGAAAUAAUUAGGGUUUAUUUUAGUUUCAAAAUUCACAAACAGUGAACAGUCACUAACAUGUUGUAAUACGAUAAAACAAUCGAAACAAAACAUAAAAUAUAGCAGAAGUGAAUAGAUUCACUAACAAAAACCAAAACCCAGAUUAGAAAAUACAAAGCAAUGGCUGAACUUGACGUACGAAACACAGUGAAAUGACCAAAAUAUCUCAAACAAACGAGCUGGAGCUCGGACGAAACUAAUCCGAGUCACCUCGAAACAAAUCAGAAACGCGUAAAUGGAAACAAAACCGAUUAAUUGGAGUAAAAAAGUUACCUUUACUGAGUUGACUAGGAGUCAAAUCAAACUCACGUCGACUCGGUUCCGAUUCUCCACGGCCGGUCAUGAAACCAGCACCAUCAAAUAAAGCAUUUGACGGAGAAGAAGAAGAAAUGCGUACUGAUACGAGAUUCGAAGCUUGUUGUGUAGAAUUAGAGUGCGAAGUUUCGAGAAACCCUAGCUUUUGAAGCUCGAUUCUUUAGAGAGAGAGAGAGAGGUGAGUGUGUGCGUUAAGAAAGAGAGAGAAGGGGGGGAGAGAGAGAGACAGAGAGAAUUAUAUUAUCUUUUGUCCAAAUAACCAUGACAUGCCAUGUCAUAAACUCAUAUGUCUCCAAUUUAUUUAUUUUUUAUACAAACAACAGAUACAUACAUGUGUAGGUAUAGAGAGAGAAACAACUAAAGUUAGAGCGAGAAAGUGGAAACGGCCUAUGGAUGCUUGCCACGUUGCAAGAAGGUGCGGUUCUUAUCACAAUCCAUUUAGAAAGGAAACCCUAGAGAUGAAUAGUUGAGAGCACUAUUCACCACGCGUCGUUUACACGCUCUGUUGGGGAGGGGAUAAAAUUAAUAGUAUCUUUGCCAAGUUAUCUAGGAUCAAAUAUGCUUUAGCACAAAAAUUUGUUUUGAUUAGAUCGUGUAAUGCACGAGCGGCGAAGGAGAGUGGAGUUAGUUCGGGCAUGAAACCCUAAGUUAAUUUUCUGGCAGGUAAUGAGAAGCAAAUGAAAGGAAAUGUAGUAACCCUAGCCGAAUUUUUCAUACAUAAUAUAAAUAAAUGAAUAAAUAUCUAACCCUAAAGCCCUGCCCUGGCCUAGUAAAAUACAAGAUCAAAUUGUGGCCAAUCAUGGAAAUGCCACACUAGCUAAGAUAAUGAAACUAUUUUUUUUUUAAUUUUAUUUUUGGGUUUUGCCAUUUAGUUGUAAUAAAAGUGAGUGAGUGAGCGACACAACUCAACACAAUUAUAAUAUUGUCAUCCCCCAACAUUUAUAUUAAUCCACUUAAUGCAGUAACUGUUAUCAUUUAACAUCGAAACUUUAAACUCAUCAUCUUCUCUAAAAAGCAUAAUCUCUCAGCGUCAUAUAAAUAAUAGAUCAAGAGGAUGAUUGCUUCACUUGUCAAUAUUCUUGUUGAUUAAUGUGUUUAAUUCAUGUGAAUUAUUGGAGUGAACAUUGCAUUAUUUCUUUCUUUUUUUUUGGGUUGGUUAUUUGUAUGUUAAUUAGUUGAAUAUUUGAAGGAUAGAAAUUAGAGAGACAGAUAAAGAGAUCAUUCAUUAGGCAUAGGUAGUAGGGGUCCCUUUGUUACCAUUGGAUUUGAGCGCCAAUGUUCAGGUAUCAUUCAGCAAUAAAAGCUAAGCAAAUGAAUGGGAGAAAAAAACAACAACAAACGGUUUUCUUGCACAAAUCCCAAAAAUAAUGUCACGUAAUUGUUAACAAGAAUAAUAGCACACACGAAUUUCAUUUCUGAUCAUAACAUAGGUUUUUCUUUUUUCCAUUGAUGGUAUGUCAAGAAUGUAACAUUGUUUGGUACAAUAGCGUCUUUCAUUCUCCUGGCCGCUUUUCAUUGAAUAUAUAUUUUUUAUUCUUAUGGUGUCUUCAAUUUUACAAUACCAUAUAUAAUUGUAAAUUGAGAAAUAUGAGCGAAAAUCUUAGAAGAUGAACGUUAAAAAAAAAAUUGUAAUAAAAGGUGAUUUGUAGUUUAGUCAUUCUCUUUUCAUAACUCUGAUCGCUUUUAAUCUUUUUAGAAGAUAACAUAUGUAAAAUUGAAUGCCACUUCUUUUUUUCCUCUAGCUAUUAUUGUUUUACAAGGACCACAUCAAGUUCUCCAACAACAACUUCGUUUUAAGAAUCGAUCGAUGCUUUGAUAGGGCUCUAUGAGAAGCGACAACGAGACUCAUUCAUUUUAUUGAACAAUAGAAGAGAACACUUUUAAUAAAGCGAUGCCCUUGAUUCUUCAGACUCAAAAAAAAAAAAAAAAAAUGAGUACCCUCUUUGCGUUUCAUUAGUAGUUGGUACUGCUGCAAUAGGGUCAGUGAAGCCAUUGAGAUCCGUGUUGAAUUUGGUGAAAUAUGUCACGGAUCUUUAAAAAAUAAAAAUAAAUUUAUAGCAUCUAAAAUUAGAUGAAAGGGAUACCUCAACACUUAAGGGCCCUCUACUUUCAGUGUUUGAUAUCUUGGUGUCAUCAUGCCCAUAGAUAUCUAACACAUCCCAAUAGACAAUAGAAUAAUCUCUUUUAUAAAUUAAAAACAAGUACUUCCAUAACCGAAGGCCACUGUCUCCUCCUAAAACUUAUCAAAUGUUCAUGGCUGGUAGGUAGUUGCUGCCCCCCCAAUAAACUGUUUGUACAAUUAAACGUGGGUGGAGCGUAUUCUCUAUUAGCUAGCAACCUUUUUUUGCCUUUUUCUUUUCUCAGAUGAUUAAGGGUUGAGUAAUAAAGUUAUUAAAAUGUGAUUAAAAAAAGAUGAACAAAGAAUAAUAUUGUGACAAGCGAGACUUUAUUAUAUGCAUCAGUUGUGGUCCACAAUAUAUAGCUAUUUAUAGUAGUUACAUCUAGAAAAAGGUAUUACACAAAUUGUCAAUUACUGAAGCAGCAGGGACGUUGACAUGAAUAGCGUAAGGAGCUUAAUCUCAGCCUCUGUUAACCUAAAUCCAUUAUGUUAUUUUACUUUAUUAAUUAACGGCUAAAAUUAAGCAAAUAAUAAGGAAGAAUAUAUAUAUAUUGAACCUAAACCUGUGGAAAAGCUUAAUAACUAAAGUUGUUUUCAGCUAUAUUUAUUGUUCAACCAAAUAAAUUUAAUUUUGGGUGUUAAUUCAAUAUUGUACAAACCCAGCAGGCAAUACUCAACAAACGAUAGAUUAGCUAGUUUCAUGGGGGUCAGAAUCUCUAUUAAUUAAACUGCAGCUUCUUAUUUUUAUGUCCCACGACCAGAUCACCCAUAUGCUUUAAUUUAAUUACCUUUAGAAUCAUACAGCAGGAUUUGUGUGGUUACGUUCUGCUUAAUUGAUCUUGAAGCAUAUGACUCGGUCGAUGAUUGCUUUUUUUUUUUCAGGGUAGCUGUUGGUAUGCAUUCGUUCAUUUUUACAAAUUAGCUUUCUCCAUUUUCAUUGUUAAUCCCCCUCCAAUUUUUAUUGCGUGAUUAUUAUCAAUUAUAUAGUUGACUUGCAGAAGCUCGAUGAACUACAUAUGAAUUAAAGAGAGCUUCUUUGGAGCUUAUUACUGACGGUAGUCAUCAGAUUUCCUGGACAUGGAAACGUAAUAAUUUUGAUCAUAUCAUAUAUGAUGGGUAUCUCUGAAUGAUCAUGUAUAUAUAUAUAAAGUAUAAACCUUUAAUAAAAGAAAAGAAAAGAGACACGUACGCUGAUAGACAGAUUAUAGGAAAUUUAGAUACAUACGUUUCUGAUUUUUUUUUUUUUGUUGUAAACCAUCCGGUGUCCCGCGCGAUCGCAUUCGAUCUUGACUAAUUACGUUUAUGAUAUUUGGAGCAAACAAACCCGAAAGAAAGAGAGAGAGAGCGAGAGAAAGGUGGCAAAAGCAAUAGGGGAAAAGUUUUCGCAAUGAAAAUUCAAACCCAGCCGCAGAAAUAUCGAUUAGUGCGUCAUCUGGGUCUGGGUCUUCGUCUGGUUCUGGACAUGCAAUGAUGCAAACAAGCUCCAAGCCAAGCUACGUCGUAAUGCAGACGUGAAUUAACAAGAAUACAUAUUUGUGAUUACGGGAAAUCCGGACUUAGUCCAAGACGCUGUUUACAGUUUUGUAAAUUCCGAAAAAGACAGUUUACAAUGUUGCAAAUAAAGUGUUAAAUUAACUUUAUAAAAUUGGAGAAUUAAAAGCUAAGUCAUAUCAUAUAUAAGUAGUAAAACAAUUAAUUAAUCAUAUAAAACUGUUUCAGCACAGGUUUAUUCAAAGCUAGUAGCUAUCUGUGUACAUAUAGCUAGCUACCUAGUUAGUCUGAGCCAAUAUCAAGCCUUCAUUUCCGAUCAUAUACGGAUAGAUAGAUCCAUGCACAGUGAUUUUGCAGCACCUAUGAACUUUUGCGGAUCUCCUCCUGCAUACGAAAUCUACACAGUACACCUCUCCUCUGCGUUUUUGCUUCUCAUUUUAAUGGUUGCAUCUGCAUAUAUAUAACUCAAUAUUAAUAACACACGAUCUAUUCCAUAAACAAUAAAUAAACGAUAUACCCAGUUUUUAUAUAAAAAAAAUCCACCUUUUCCUUUCUUUUUUUUCUUUCCUUUCUUUUUUUUCUUUCUUAUUUUUUAAUUUCAUUUUUUUUUUUUUUUUUUUUAUGCCAUAAAUAUGAACAAGAAAACUUUAUAGAUUAGAUCACAGGAGAAAGAUCUUUUAUGUGGGCUAUCAAAUUCAGGUGCCGCAUACCCUUUGUCCCACACACAUCUACUUUAGUUUUGUACCAUAUAUAUUUUGCUAUCCCAAAUACUGUUUCGUCCAUCAUCUAUACAUCAUGACAGAUGAAACUCUUACUCCUUAUCAAAUCGAUAAAGCAAAGAUAAAAUAAAUUAAAAUUGAUAAUUUGGAAAGCCAUUUGCAUCAUAAAAAAAAAGGUAAAGCAUCAAUUUCUGAAGGAGAUGAAUCCCACUAAGUAAAAUGAGCAUAUUGCUGACUCAAGCUUGUUAGAACAUUAGCCAUCAUUAUAUUUUCUCUAAAAGUAUAUGAGUGAUCCGAAAAUUUAUUCAAGAAAGCUGAAAACAAAAGUUUAACCACCUAAUGCAUAAGCUAAUGCAUAAGGACCGAUGUCUUUAGCUCAUUUUUUUUUUUUAAAAAAAAAAGAUAAAAGAUAUAUAAAACAUGCGGAUUGUUGAUGAGGAAAAAGUGAAACUCUCAUGUUAUUUGACUAAACUACUAGAAACUCGUUUAAUGUUUUAGAACACAUCCAAACCUCCUAUAGUGUCAAAAUUUUUACUGAUCUUACCAUUUUACACUUGAUAGUUGUUUGAUAUUAAUAAUAUGAAUACCUUUAGUUAUUAAAUUAAUUAAAUGAUUUUCUUAAUCAUUAUUAAUUGAUAAUUGUAGAAAAAAGAAAGGGAAUUGUCAUAACUUUUUUAAUUAACUCUAAAUUUUUUUUAGAAUGUAAUAAAAAAUUAAAUAUAUACACACACACAGAGGAUAAAAAGUUGAAGCAACAUAUAUCCUCAACGUAUUAUUCUCCUAAAGAUAGCAUAUGUAUAUUUAUUUCGAAUUUAAUUUUUCAAAUUCUGAAUUAAUUAGAAAAAUUAUGAUAAUUUCUUUACUUUUCUAAUAAUUUUGCAUUUAAAAUUAAUUAAUUAUGCUAAAAAUUAUUUAAUUAAUUAAAAAAUUAAAAGUAUUCAUAUUCCUAAUAUCAAACACUACCAAAAGUUAAAUGAUAAGAUCAAAAAAAAAAAAAAAUUUAACACUCGAACGAAUUUCAAUAUAUUUUAAAACUUCAAAAGAAUUUCGAUUAACUUAAUCAAACAAUUUAAUAUAGUUAUUUUCAAUUUCAGCAUACUCAAAUCCAGACCUCAUAAGAGCGAACCAUCCAUCCAGGGGUUUCAACCAAUCCCUCCCUCGUGGGACACAUGGGUUUUAAUUCUUCUUCUCGUUGUAUCUCUUUUAUUAGUGCUUGUGCUUGUCAUUUGCAAAGUCAAAUCCGUACAUAAACUCAAGCGCCAAGUUGCGGAUAUUUGUCACCACAAGUGUACUAUAAAACCUUUUAUGUGGACACAUUAAUUUUGUAUGAUUUGUCGGUUUUUUUUUAUAUUAAUUUUCCGUAAUUCACGCAAACUUAAUGCCUCUGCCAAUAUAAAUGAGAAAAUUCAUGAUGAUCAAGAAGAUAUAAUUAACGACUCACCGUCUUGAAAAUGUUAAAACUAUUAAUUGUCUAAUAUUGCGAAACAUUAGUUUGGAACGUAUAAUAUGUGUAUAUAGGUGUAAGUAUGAUAUGUAUAAUACCUUUCUUGGCCUUUAAUUGAUGUGAGUAUGAUAUAUAACGCCUUUCUCGGCCUUUGGUUAAGAUCAAGUACUGUAAGUAUGAGCCACUUCGGCCUUGGUCGAAGUGGUGGGCUGCUGCCCUCACAAGAUCAAGCCCCCACAAAAGCAUUGUGGGGCUAAAACAUUUAUAACUUUUUUUUUUUUUGCGAAAUGUAAGUGAAGUAGGGGCAUCCCUCGUCUGUAAGGACAAUUUAUCUGCCCAUGUAUUUCAUAAAAUUUAAUGUAAUCAUAUAUAUAAGUCCCAGUUAGGUAUAUCUUAUUGUAAAUAUCAGUGUACUAUUGUGAUAACAGUUGUAAAUAUUUGUAAAUAUCUGUGUAAUGCAGUAAACUGGUGUGUAACCAGUAUCAAAAAAAAAAAAUAUGUACAUUAAUGGUGUGUGUGUGUGUGUAUAGUUGACAUCUGUAAAACAUAUUACAACCAAUGUUAAGAUUAGUUAAACUCAACAAAACAUACUUAAAAAUCUAAGAGUAACAUAUAGAAAAAUAAAUAAAUUAAGCCUGCGAACAAUAUAAGAAAAUAUCAAUCACAGUGUCACUGAAUAACCUAGUGAAUCCAGUAAAAGAGAUAGUGUAUAUACACACACUAUGUUCACUUAAGAUUAUUCUCGUAUUCUAAAACGAUCAACUACUAAAAAAGAAAAAUUAAACUAAACAUUUAUAACUUAUAAAAAAAAUAUUUCAUGAAUUUUAAUUUAAAUAUACAUUCUUCUAAUCAUAUCAUGCCAUAUGAAUUUGUAUACAUAGUUUGUGUGUUUGACAAAUCUAAUCCAAAUAAUCUUGCUUAGAAAUAGCUUCAUAAUUUACCCAAAUUGAAAGAGCAGAAAUUUGAUAAUUUAAUUCAGUAGUAGCCAAGAAAGGGAAAUAAUUAACAUAGAAGAAAAUAAUUUCCAUGUUGAUGCAAUAGCUACCACAUGACACAAUUCGAAUCUUGCUUUGAAUAGCAAAUUUAACACAAACAGGAGAAAUAUUUAUGUAAUCUCAUUGCCUUUACAGAUAAGCAAAUGGGUAUCAUUUUUAUUCUUCAACAUGCCACUUUAUAUUAUAAUAGCUGAGAUCUUUGUUAGUUGGUCAAAAAAAAAAAAAAAAUUGAAAAUGAAAUUUUAUUGUGGAAAACAUAUUCCUAAUUUAUUUUAUUCGUGUUUGUACACCUGCAUAGGAUUAAUAAUGGUUAGUUGAAAGUCAUUUUCUCUGCCAUCAUACAAAAAGAGACAAAGCGAUCGAAGUCAUCGAAUUUCGUCCUUUUCACCAAUCGAUGUCGCAUUAUCACUAUGCCAUCAACCAGCCAAGAUUAAGAGUUUUGUCAUAAUUAAUUCUAUAUGUUUCGGUUAAAUUAUUAAUAGUUUAACAUUGAUUUCUCCUCUUUAUUGCAUACAUAAAUUACACUUCUGAAUUUGGGACUCAAAUUGUUUUGGACGUGGUAUCUCACAUUAUUAUUAUUUUUAAUUAUAUUUUUAUUUUCAAUCAAAUUAUCUAGAAUUAACCAUGUUCUUAGGAUAGAGUUUACAAUUUACAAUAGUUUUCGUGUAAUAAUACUUUUUUAGUGAAGUGUUGUCAUGUGUAUAUUUAUUUAUUUUAAGUAUUAAUUGCAAGGUAUACAAUAUAAAUAUAUAUAUACACACACACAGGGGGAUGCAUUUUAAACUUUCUUAAUUCUCACCAUAUAUAUAUAUAUAUGUUAAUGAAUUUGUAACAUUAUUUAUACAAAAGUUUAGUAUAGACUAAGUUGGUAGAUUAGAACCAAUGAAUGAAUGAAUUGAUUGGAUAAAGGUAUCUCAUAUCUGUUUUCAUUCUUCUUAAUCAAUCCAUUCAUGACUUUUAAGCUGUCAAUUUUAAUUUGUAAAAAAAGUUUGUCCAGUUUUGUGACUGUAUUAUUAUUAUUAUUAUUCUAUUGGUAGUAAUAUGGUUGCAUAAUUUUAAAAUAUCGAACUACAAAGGAAACUAGAGGUCAUUUUUGUAAGUUGCAGUGACAUAUUUGUAUAUGCUUGAAUUGAAUACCCUUAAUCAAAACAUUUCAUUCUACGUUAAAGCAGUUGAUGAAAACUUGAAAAGAUGUGUUUAAUCAUCGAGUAUACUGAAAUUAAAAAUCUCUCACUCUCUAUACACACACGCAUAUAUUAAUCUUCAUACAAAAACUAACAUAAAAGUUUAAGUAAUUAAUUUGUUAUCUGUUCGAUAUGGUAGUAAAGAAAAAUGUUAAUUAAAAGGUGAUUAAUUAAGCAAGGAUUUAGCACUGGAAAAAAAAAUCUUGAGUGCUCCAAGAAUAUUGUAUUGUUUAUUUUCCAUUCAUUGUUGCUAAGGGCAGAGGAUGUAUAUGGUUAAUCAGGUUAGAGGGACUCGGAGAUUUUGAAGAAAUCGUGGGGUUUUUUUUUUUUUUUAUAUAUAAAAUAUGAAAAGUUAGUAUAAAAAAAAUCUAAUUUGGCCAUGCAAUCCAUAAAUUUAUAUAUUAUAUAAAAAUGUCAUUUUAUAACUCCCCUAGCAUUAAUGUUAAAACAAAUUCAUAUAUUAGUAAAUAAAAAUAAUAAAAAUUGGCCCUACACCCUUAAUCCAUGACUUGGAUAUUUGAAGUAUGAAUUUGGUGCACAUAGAGUUUUUCUCCGGCUCCUAAUUAUUUCCACUUGGAUGCUUCAAUAAAUAAUAAAAAUAUAUGUACACAUCUGAUAAAAAGUGAAUAUAAAGUUUUAUAGGAGGAUAAAUAGCUUUUUUUAUCUCGAAAACUCUUAAAACACAACCAGCACAUGCAACGUCAAAAAAUUUCAAAAAGAAUUUUUGCGUCUAAAUAAACCAUAUCAAUAUUUUACCUUUAUCUCUACAUUAUUAUUUCAUUUAUAUUACAUAUGAUUCAUUGAGAUGAUAAAAUUUUUAAUAUUUUUUAAACAAGUUUCCAUGAGCCAGUCCAGUUGAUUUAAAAUUUUACAGUAAAGAUAAAAGACAAAUGGUUCAAUCUCCAUUUAUACCAACUUGAAAUGGGAUAAAAUUUUGGAUUAAAAUUUAAUGCUGAGCUUUUUUUUUUUUAAUUUCUGAGCACUAAAUCAAUGGUCAAAAUUUAUUUUAAAUUUUUAUUUUUUUUAUUUUUCUUACAUAACAAUUAUUGAUUCAGUGCUCAGUAAAAACUCAGUUCAACACUGAAUUCUUAUCCUAAAAUUUUAUUGAGGUUAAGACCAGUUAGGUGCCUAUUAACUGAAAAAAUUACUCAUCUUCAAAUGACUUGUUCUUUAAUUAUAAAUGAAUGUGAUUUUUGAAUUGAUUUUUUUAUUAAAAAAAAAGAUAAAAAUCAUUAGACGAUGAAAACAUUUUGAUUGCAUACAACGAAUUUAAUUUAAAGUACAUGAAUAUAUAAUUUAUUAAUUUUUUUAUAACUAUGAUCCAAUUACAAAUAAUUAUAUAAAUUAAACUAUCAACAUAAGUGACAAUAAAGGAUUAGUAGAAAAAGUAAAAUCAAUUAAUGAAACAAGCGGAUUUAGACAGCUGUUUGGGUUUAUAUUAUUAUUUAAUAUUUUUAUAAUUAUUUCUUGCUUAAAGCAAUAAGGUCAACUUUUUUUUCCAAGGAAGGUCAACGUUCAAUAUUCACGUUAAUGAGAUUUGAAAGGCACACCUAUCAAAGAAAGAAAAAUAUCAGGCGGGCUAAUGCUGUAAAUUAUUCCUUAAUUUGAGUUAUUUUUAUAAAUUCCUGGGUCAAUCCACAAAGUGACAAGUGAAGACGGAAGUGCUCAGUCAUUAACUUUAAUGGGCCCCACGAAAAUCCAUUCAAACUUCGGAGAGAAGAGACCUAAAACCUUUGUACAUUUCAAAAUCGGCCCCAAACGAAUUUCAAUUUUGAAAAUUUUAACUACACCCUUGCUUCUAUCGGAUAUUCAAAAAGCAGCAGAUCUCAUCCGUACACGUGUCCCCAAAGCGGAAAAUUAUAUCCUUUUUCUGUUCCAUUACCGCCAAAUUCCACCCCAUCGCUUUCCUAGAAUAAAAACCUAAAACCAUCUGAAUCCAACGGCCAAUAAAUCCUCAGCAGUCUUUCACUCAAUAUCAUCCGUCAAACAAAUUAUUUCAAUUUCGCCCGUCGGAUCAUCCACGCCUCGCAUCCAACCGUAAAAUAUUCACCAAAUUUCAAUUUCAAAGAAAACGAGAGGGAGGGGAGCAACAAACGAUAGCCAAUAGCCUUUAAGCCUCUCUUCCUCCGAUUGUAGAUUUCAUCAAUUUCUAUCAAAUUUGCGCGCCGCCGUGUUCAGCAAACCGACGCCGUUUCGAAGCUUGAUUUGGUUUAAAUUUUCGACGUGUAUAAGUAAAAAUCCUCAUUCCGUCGUCCGUACCAAUCGGUGCUUACGUUAGAUUCAGGUCAGCAGUUUAGCGGCUAGCGUAUACAAAACGACAUUGUUUAGCUGCCAUUUUUUGGAGAUAGGAUCUCAAGAUAUUUGAAUUUCGUAUUUGUUAAAUUGAAUAUUCAUUUAUGGUUAUAAAAUUUAUUUAAAAAAUUAAUGGAACAAGGCGAGACGAUUUCUGAUUUUGCCCCAAAGAAAUUGGCGAGGCAAUUGGAUUUCACCAUUUGCCGAGCGUCGGCCAACGGCUUACUGCCGGAGCAGUCGGUAAAGUCACAGUCUUCACAGCCUCAAUCACACUCGCCGUUGCAGCCACAGCCGCCAAAAUCGCAGCCGCAAGUGCAAUCGAAGGUGGCGUCCCCGUCACAGUCACAGCCACUUGUACGAUUGCAGUUACUGCCACCGUCGUCACAACCACAUGUGCAAGCACAUAUGAGGUCACCGUCACAGGCAAUGCCGCAAUGGCAAGCACGGCCGCAGCACGUGCGAAUGGUGAAUCGGGUCCCACAUCCAGUGCAUAAACUUCCCCUACCGACACUGCCUCCUGGGUAAGUUUUUGAAGCAAUUGUGAUUUAGGAAUUUAAAAUUCUAGAUGAUUGAUUUAAGUUUGAAAAUAAGCUAUUAUUGUAUGCUUAAGUUAUAGACGCUUAUGUUAAUCUGCUUGUUUUGUUUAUUGAUGGAUGAUUUAUAUAACAUUUGUUAAUAGACGUUGAGUUGUUUUUGAAUUUCUGGUAUACUUGGGAUAAAGUUGAAGGGGAUUAGGCUGUAGAUGAAAUUCAUAAUCUUGUAGAAUAUUAUCUAUAAAAUUAAUUUUGCCUUGUUAGAUAUUAUACUAUAGUGAAUUAUAAUAAAAUCUGUUUGGAUAACUUAAAUGAUACUUUGAAGGUCUUAGAAGCACACUUUAUAUUCAGUUAUAAUAAGGACAUGAAGUUUUUGUGCAAGUUAAGAGGAUAAUUAUGGAUACUGAGUAUCCAAAACAUUAGAUACAGAUACUCAAGCUUAUUUGUGUCAAAAGAAGUUUGAAUUGGGUGUACGCAUCUGAACUCAUUUUUUUUUUUUUCAAAUUUCCUUGCCAUUCUACUUCUGUGCUCUUUGUUGCAAUUGGGCCUUUAGCAUUUAAUAUGCACUCAUUUUGUGAUCCUAAAGUUGUUGCCUUUUUUCGCCUGUAUAUCAAUAACAUUUGGACCUCUUGGUUUGAUAAAUAUGCUUUUACUUAUAUAUUUUUUCCGCUUAAGUCUAAGCUCACCUUCUGCUGAUAAUGGUUUUGUUUCUGCAUUUAAAGAAGCAAGCUUGAAAUUGGUACAGAUGUUCCUAGAUGCUUAUGUAUACACUAUAUUAAUGUUUUUUAACUGCUCUUCAUUAUGUGUUUUGUUUCCCUCAGAAAGCAAGAGUCCCCUAGAUCACGACCGCGGGCUAACACUGAUGGAAAGGAUGGUACUCCAAAGAAACAAAAGCAAUGUAAUUGCAGAAACUCUCGCUGCUUGAAGUUGUAAGUACAUUGCUUGGUUUUCAGCCAUGGAGAAUGUUUCUGUUUUCCUUUUGUCUUUCCCACUAAAUUAUAAUCGUUGAUACCCCACAGAGACUUUGUGGAGAUUUGGAUCAACAUCUAUUCCAACACUUCACCAGGGGCACAUCUUAACACCCAAUUCAAAGAUAACUUAGUGAAGUAGAUUACAUCUGGAGCUAAAAGACUUUAGCACUUCAAAUUUGUCCUUACGAUCUCAACAACCAAAUUUUUGCAAUUGUUAGGUACUGUGAGUGCUUUGCUGCUGGAAUUUAUUGCGACGGAUGCAAUUGUGUAAAUUGUCACAAUAAUGUAGAGCAUGAGGUUGCUAGGCAAGAGGCCGUUGGAGCGACAUUAGAGCGUAAUCCAAAUGCAUUCAGACCAAAAAUUGCUAGCAGUCCUCAUGGAGCUCAGGAUGCUAGGGUAUGUUAUCUGACUUGAUUGAGUCUUGAAACAGUGUUUCCUAGCAUAGUAAAAUUGUUAAGUCCUACAGUGCUCUUGUGUUGACGUCAUCUGACUGAAUUAAGUGCUGAGAACAAGUUCAUAAUGGAGAAUAUAGGUUAUGUUUUAUUAUAGAAAAUUGCUUCUUUGGAUAAAAUAAAAGCGAAAUGAUGAAUACAUUCAUGAAACCUCUGUAUUGGUUCCUUUGCCCCCUGGUGUUUAUGAUCUUCAGUAGCAUUUAAUGUGUCUCAAAACAACUCAGGAAGAUGCACGGGAAGCUCAACUGGCAGCGAAGCACAACAAAGGAUGUCACUGCAAGAAAUCAGGGUGCCUCAAGAAGUAUUGUGAAUGCUUCCAAGCCAAUAUUCUAUGCUCCGAAAACUGUCGAUGUUUAGACUGCAAAAACUUUGAAGGAAGUGAAGAAAGGAGGGCUCUCUUUCAUGGAGAUCAUAAUGGUAUUGCCUUUAUGCAAAGAGCCGCCAAUGCUGCGAUUAUUGGGGCUGUUGGUUCAUCUGGAUAUGGGACUCUUAUGACGUCAAAUAAGAGAAAAAGUGAGGAACUCUUAUUUGGUGUUGCCGCCAAAGAUCAGUCCGUCAUCAGAAAUCCACAAAGUCAACAGGUAAUUUUUUAUUGCAUCCUUAGAUGUCUGAAUAUAUAUGUUUAUGGAUCAAGAUUCAAGACCACCAAUUGGAUGAAUUUUACAUAUGUAACUUUAUGUUUUCAGUGAUGCCUUUGUUUGUAUACAUGUGUAUAUGUACACGUAUAAAUUUUGGCUCAUUCUUCUUUUUGGUAUGCAGUAGUUUAUGUUAGAAUUCACAAAAUAAAUGUGAUGGUUGCUGACUGUGAUAACUUUCACCCAUCAGGGAAACAACGUACAAAAUUCUGCGGUCCCUUGUUCCCAGUCUGUCCCUGUUUCUCAGACUGCCAAUGCAUCAGUACUGGGCUCUACAAAAUCAGCCUUAAGGUAAUCCAUCCCCCUUCUACCCCACUUUCCCCCUUUUUCUUGGGUUCAUCUUUUUCCUCAGCGGCAAAUUUUUCUUUAAUUUCCGAUCAAACUCUAAUUGGCAUAUUUUCAUGACUGAAGAUCUCCUUUGGCGGACAUCCUCCAACCACAGGACAUGAAGGAGCUGUGCUCACUUUUGGUCAUGGUUUCAUCAGAAGCUACAAAGACACUUACAAGUAUUUAUCAUUACAUUCAAAUAUUUUUUAUUGCUUGUUUCUCUGCAUAAGUUUGGUUUUAAUAUUUCCCAAAUAUAUUGCUGGAAUGGCUAUAAUUUCUCUAUUUUUUUUAGGAAGAAAAACAAUAAUUUCUCUAUUACUAAGUCUGUUUUAGAGUGGUUUGGUUUUUAAGUUUGUAACUUUAUCUCAAUUGCAGCACAAUGUGCUAUUGCAUGAAUUAGUUUUCACUACAUGAAAGAAUUUGAAAUUAACAGUUAUUUUCACAUGUUCAAGACAAUUCGGAAACAUUAUAAUCUACUCUCAAAUUAAAAAUCAUCAUCUCUUAUCUCGGGAAACCUAGCCAAAUUUAACUUGUAUUUAUAUCUUUUAAAUAUCAUUUACAAGUACAUUUCCAUUGUAUAGCAGUAUGUCUUGGAUGUAUUUUGAUAUGAAAUUCUUAUUCAAUACUGAUUUUCUUUAAUGCUAUGAGUUCUAUUUUUCAUUUGUUCGUCCAAUUUAUCGUGAUAAAAGAUUUGAGAAUCUUAUAUUUUAUUUACUCUGUUUAGUAUAUUUGAUUUUCUUUCAAAAUGUAGGAUUCAUGAAAUGCAAAUAUUUGUCGAGGUAUGGUGUUUUUCUUUGACCAUACCACAAGGUUUCAGUGUAAAAUCUAGUAUAUUUAUUUACCAUAAUUAUCUUUUAGUAUCCAUUAUUUAUUUAUUUAUCUUUCAAAUUUGGCUGUUGUAUCCUGUAAAUUAAUUGAAAUUUUCCAAGUUUUGCUUCUAUACUUCCAAUAUUCUAGGGGCAAGCUGUAAGUAUAAUGAGUAGGAAAUUUUUUAUAGACAUUAGCACUUCAAAACUCUGCCUUAGGUAAUCUGUACAUUUCUUAGCCUGCGGUUUGAUUAUUUGAACAUGUUAUUGAAUUAGUGGUAAUAUGGUAAAAUAUGGUUCAUUUGUAUCACGUAAUAUUGUUUGACAUCUGUAAUUCAAAAUCUGCAGAAAAAGUAGGUGCAAUGCAAACAGAGAGAGAGGGUUCUAGAUCUUCUGUUGCUUCACCCAUUCAGGAGGGUGAAGAUAGUAGAAAAGGACAUGAAGUUCACAAUGGUAUCCCUGAUGAUCGCCAGAGUGGGAAUCAAAUGGAUGUGGAUGGAACCAGCGGUUCUGGGUCAGAUGGUGGUGAUAUGCUAAAUGAAAGGCCAUUGUCUCCUGGAACACGUGCAUUAAUGUGUGAUGAAGAGGAUUCAGCAUUUAUGCAAGCUGGGCCACAAACAGGGUUGGCAAGUAAAAGCACGGUCCAGAAAUCUAAUGCGUAUGCAUCCACAAGAAUCUACGCUGAGCAAGAAAGACUCAUCUUGACAAGGUUCCGGGAUUUUCUUAACCGACUCAUAACUUGUGGGAGCAUAAAAGGUAAUUGUUUUUUUAAGAUUUAAAAUUUAAACUUUUAAUUUGUAAAGUAGAAAACACUGGGUUUUUUGUGAUGUCGCAAACCCUUUCCCGAAAUUGUUGUUUGAAAACUUGCAAUUCUCAUGUUUUGAAUUUUGUUUUGUUUUGUAACUGUAAGAGGCAUUUCGAUAGUUGUGCUCCGUUUCUAAACAUCUCUAGUUUUGGUUGGUUUAAAGAGGCAUUAGGCACUUCCAUUAUUGUGAUGUAGCGCUGAAGUGAACGUCUGUCCAUAGAUGAUAGUUACUCGUGUGGUGAUAUAAAGGAGUGUUUGAAGUUUCGAUCAUAGAAUGGUUUUGAAGUCAUAUAGAAAUGGAUGGCAUGCCCUUAAAUCUUUAAGUCAAAUUGUAAUACAAUCUAAUGAUGAAGAUAUAAAGUAAAAAAGGUAGCAUAUACUAUCGCCAACUAGUCCGUCCUCUCUGCAGUGCAUUGAAUAGAUCAAGGGGUGAGAAUUUGUGUAAAAUUUUAGGUCAAAAUUUCAGUGAAGGGAAUCAGAGUUCAUGGAGUUGAAAUUCAAGACUAAGUCGAAAUUGGGUGCAAGAGAAAUUGUCAUUUCCUUAAUACUAUAGACAUGGGAAAGAUCCUUCCAAAAUGGAUGUUUUCAUUUUCUUCCUAGCACUUGCAGUUGCAUAUCUUCCAUUUUUUAAAACUAAAUUGACAAAUGAUGAUAUAACUUGUUGCAUGUUGCAGAAACAAUGUGUUCUCCGCUGGUCAAAAGUGAAACAAGAAGCCAACAAAAAGCUGUAGAAGAUGGCACCUCAAGAUCUGGAACGGAGGUAAGGGGUUACAUGGAGCCUUGUGGCUAUGGCAGUGCUAAAUCUGCAGUUUCAGUGACUCUGGAACCAUCUUGUACUACCACUUCAGUCUCUUCCAGGCAGAAUAAUGAUCUGCCUAUGAGGGUUGGCUUGUCCAAUGGACAGAGAGUGGUAGAUUCAGAGAUUAGGAACCGCAACUGACAACAAAGAUAUCACCAGAAAAGAUGUUCCCUGAAGAUGAACUGUUCUUCAUGUAGUUAAAAGGAAGUUUCCCAGGUUCCUACAACUAGAAAUGUUCUCGACCUAACACCGCUAUUUAAUUAUUAAUAAUUAUUUUUAGGCCUUUUAUCGCUCCUUUCCUGGUGCAUAUCACUUAUGCCAAGUUCCUUGUAUAAGGUUUAGUCUUGAGACAUUGUCCGCUGAUCUGCUUGUUCAGAUAAUCAUAUGCCUCAAGUUCGAGUAGUCUGUGACUUUGUAAUUUAUUUGACGAAUCCUAUUUGCCUGGCUACCUUUUCAUAGGAUCGGCCGAAGCGGCAAAUAGCAUGGCAUUAUUCGCCUGAACAGAUAAUGAAUGCAGCUUCCUUGAACUUUCCGGAACUGGUUUUUCACUCAGUAAUGUUAAUUCAUGUAGCUUCCUUUUAACCUUCGUUUCCCGUUCAUUUUCAUUUCAGACAAAACUCGUUUCUGCAACUCUUCUUUCCUAUACCGAAUGUUGCUCAGAUGAUGCCAGCGAACCGUACAGAAACGUAAUUUUCGACAAUAAUGGGAUUUAUUUAUUCGUUUUCAAUCUAGAACAAGCCAAAACACCAGAUAGAUGCCCAAACAAAAAAGAAAAGAAAAAAAAAAUUAAAGCUCUUCAUGUUCACAAACUCUUUUUGAGGAAACUUUAUCUGAGAGAAAGAGAUACGAGGGGAAUGAUGAAGCUUCUCCAUUCUUAUCUUCCGCGUCCAAACAGCGGCACUGCUCCCAGUCCCACAUGCAUCCCACCAUCGACUACGCACGUGCAACCAUUAAAAAGCUGCCCACGUGCUCCGCACGUGCGAAUCUACCCGCCAAAAAAAGGCAACAAUGAGUGCGCGAUCCAAAUAAUUAAAAACGAAGCGUUCACUGACGCAACUACGCAAAAACAAAUGGAAAAAGCAGAGAGUAUUCCAAUUGACGCUGAGAAGAUUCGAUGUGAAUUUUUCAAUUUCUUGCGAAGCAAACGAUCCGCAGAAGGUAAAAUCUAAAUCAAUUAUUUAAAAAAAGAAAAGAAAAGAAAAAGAAAAGCGUUCGAGUGCUAUGUUUGUUUAGUUUAUCAAAUUUCGUUUCACUUCAGAAGCACUCGUUCUCGUCAGCCAAACAGCUCGUAGAUGUGUUAUUUUUGUUAAAGCAAAGUUGAUUGUAGUUUUGCAUUCUCAGUUCCGUUGACCGUGGAACACGCGCAGCCUGUGUUAAAUCCUCUUUAUCAGGAUGAUAAGCCGCCAACCAACAGCGAGGUUAUAACUUAUAUUUUGUUAUUAAUAUUAUCGUGAUCGAUGUUUUGAGGUAGAACUUGUUGAGUAUGAUUAUAAUUUAUAAAUUUCUGAAUAUUUUUUGUAAUUUUGAUGAUUUGCUAGGCUAUGGAGUCUUGUCCGAAGGCCAAUGUUGAAAAUUUUAAGAAAUUGCUCAAAGAAGAAAACCUUUACUUAUAUACCGAGGUAUCAAGAUCUUAAUUCAUUAUAUGCAUGCCGAAUUUCACCUCAGAAAUUAGAGACUUUUAAAAAAAUCGCUCAAUUUUUUGAAUUUAUCGGAGCAUUAAUGCAUGGGGGUUGUACGUGUUAAUGUUAUAUGGUUUUUUUUUUUUUUUUUAUUGCGAAGAUAACUAUUGCGUGUUGGUCAAUUUCUUUUAUAGGCUGGAGAGCAGGGGCGCUUGCCGCUAUUAAUUUUAAGCAUGAAAGAAAGUGAUAACGAAAAUAGGCCUGCUGUUGUUUUUCUGCAUAGUACACGUAAGUGCAAAGAGUGGUUGCGGCCAUUGCUUGAGGUAGGUAGUUUUCUGAGUUUACUUUGACUUUCUAUUGCAGGCAAGACACAUUUAUUUGUAUGAACUUUGUCUAUUUUGUGUGUUUCAGGCAUAUGCUUCGAGGGGAUACAUAGCCAUUGGCAUUGAUUCUCGUUACCAUGGUGAACGCGCCAGUAGCAAAACCACUUAUCGAGAUGUGUGUGCUCCGCCUUUACACUGAACUGAUUUCCUGCAGAUGUUGUCCAUGAAUUCAUCUUUGAAUUGGAAAAGCACGGAUUUUUAAAUCUUUUUGGCCAAAUGAAACUUGUUCAUUACUUAGUGGUUGCGUCAUAUGAGAAUCAGAGCAGUCAGACUUGCAUCAGUCCAAACUUCUUCUUUUUUUUUCAUUUAAAUUUCAUUAUCACAAUCUCAUUAUGCCAUUCAAAUGCAGGCUCUUGUUUCAUCAUGGAAAAAUGGUGAUACUAUGCCAUUCAUAUUUGAUACGGUAAUUCCAGUUUUGGAUUUUUUGUUUGCCAUAUCAUCUAUGUUGACUGUACUGGUUUGUGGUUUCUGAAACAUUACCUACUUACAGGAAAUUUGGUGAGUCUAGUAGUCGUAAUAAAUGGUUUUUCUUUGAGUUUUGCGUUUCUUUUAUAGCUACUAAAAUUGCCUACUUAAAGCUUUGGAUCUAUUGGUCUAGAAUUUAUAAUAUCGUUAUUAUUCAUUGUUCUGAAUAUCUUUGUCUAUGAGAAAGCAACUUAAGCAACUUAGGCUUUAGAAUCUUGCAGGCCUGGGACUUGAUAAAACUGGCAGAUUAUCUAACCCAGAGGGAGGACAUAGAUCCUACCAGGAUAGGCAUUACUGGCGAAUCCCUUGGAGGUUGGUUGAGUUAUAUUAAAAGGUGGCAAAAUUAAACUCCAUACUGCAACAUGUGGAAUUUAUGUAGUUAUUAACCAAUGCAGGAAUGCAUGCGUGGUAUGCUGCUGCUGACACUCGCUAUAAGGUGAUUGUUCCUAUUAUUGGCGUUCAGGUGUGUCUAUAAACUUGUGAAGGUUAAUAAGCAAAAGUGUAUAAAAUUUUUUUUUUUUUUGAAUAAUGUACUAAACUUCAAUGUAAUAAGAAGGUUAAUAAGCAAAAGUGUAUAAAAUUCAGGUGUGUCUAUAAACUUGUGAAGGUUAAUAAGCAAAAGUGUAUAAAAUUUUUUUUUUUUUUGAAUAAUGUACUAAACUUCAAUGUAAUAAACUGUAGGGAUUUCGAUGGGCCAUAGAGAAUGAUAAGUGGCAAGCUCGAGUUGGCAGUAUAAAGGCUGUAUUUGAAGGUAAUCUUAAAUCAGUGUUGUAUAAAUAAUGCAAUACAUAUGUUUGGCGGCAGUUGAUUACUAUUCGAAUAUGAUAGUUUUCCACAUGUAGCUUUUCAAAUGUUCUGCCAUUUGUUUGUCUGAUGCUCUUGGUUUUUUGGUUCAGAAGCAAGGACUGAUUUAGGUAAAAGCACAAUUGAUAAAGAAGUCGUAGAGAAGGUCAGUUACCGUGUUCCUGUACAUAUUCAUGCACAUUCUGUGACCUCUUUUCAUAUGCUGGUAUUGUCAUAUUAUAAUGUUCAUAUGACUAGUUAUGGCUCAAGCAUUAGCAAUCUGAUGUAGCUGCGUGAAUUUGAUAUUUCCAUCUUGUUUUCAUGCUUCAGAAGCCAACAUUUGGUUGAGUUUUCUUCUUUUACAGUGUGCAUCCGAAGUAGGAUCUCUGAUUGUUUUAUCAUUGUGAACAGGUCUGGGAUAGAAUUGCCCCUGGCCUAGCCUCCCAGUUUGAUUCACCUUAUACAAUCCCAGCUAUUGCUCCUCGUCCACUGCUGAUUAUAAACGGUAUAAUCAUUUUAUUCACUUCGAUCACGAAAAUAAUUGCUCUUCUGCUUCAGAAUCUGUUGGUUUUUUGCAUAAUUUUUUUAUAAACUACAGAUUUAGAUUUAAUGGAAACAAGAAUACAUUAAUAUGCUUAAGAAAGCAUUAAGAAAUCACAGAGAAUUGUUUUGAUCUUUCUAAGUGAUACUUUCAAACUUUUGUACUUACACCUAGCUGUAUAAAGUCUUGAGUAAAGGCCAACAAUAUCAAUUGGAGAUCUCCAAGUUUAAGCAAAUUGUUAUUGUUCUCUGUACCUAUAAAUGUGUUGAUAGGCCUAGUUCAUCUUUCAGUUUCUUUUCCCUGUCUUUCUUGCUUGAUUCAGCCCUUAGCCCAUCUUAAGACCAGCAGUCUGCUAUGUUAUUUCCAUUAAAUAUGAUCCUGCAGCUUUCUUCUGGUUUUUUUCGAUUGAUACUGACUUUUAAAUUUAAUGUUCACUUGGGUCACAAUAUUGUUUGGUUUCAAAAAUCCAGGUGCAGAAGAUCCUCGCUGUCCACUUGCAGGUCUGGAAAUUCCCAAAGCCAGAGCGCGCAAGGCUUAUGCAGAGGCCAAUUGUUCCGAUAAUUUUAAGGUAUGGACAUGUGUCAUCUGGUAGAUACAAGUACUAUAAUGUCUUACAGUUUCAUGGCUAGUUUGCAUAAUUUAUGAUUCUUUCAUCUGUACACAGGUGGUAGCAGAACCUGGAAUCGGGCACCAGAUGACGCCUUUUAUGGUUAAAGAAGCCAGUGAUUGGCUCGACAAGUUCCUCCUCAAGCAGUAAUUUGCUUAUCCAGCAUUUGACCCUUUUUUUUGGGUUAUUUGGACCUGCUGCUUUCAGAUUGUGCAUGGAUCCAUGUUCAUUCAUGUACUUAGCUUCCUUCAACCUUCGUUUCCCGUUCAUUCUCGAUACAAUAAAAUCUGUUUCUGUUUCCUAUAUUGUAUAUUAUUUUGUGGAUUGUUUUUUAAAAAAAAAACAAUAUUUGAGAACGAAAACAUAAAUUUUUUGUCUUCUGUUUAUGAUUUGGAUUUGGAAUUUUGGAUCACGUGUAUUUAGUUGCAACCUUCAUUUUGGCUGGUUUGGUUCGCAAGUGUGCGGAGCUUUUAAUACUUGCAUGUGCGUAGCAGUCGAUUGAGGUAAUAAAUGAAGUAAAAUGACUAAUUUUUGGUGAAUUUAUUUUGUUGAUUGUUUAAAAAAAAAAACAAUAUUUGAGAUUGAAAACAUAAUAACAUAUUUAGUUGUUUGUUUAGAAAUUCGAAAAAUAAUGAAAGGGAGUGAUAAAUUUUUUUUUUUUGUUAAUGUAUAUAAUUAGUGUGUUUUUUUUAGGGUAAUUUUUACUUUCCUCCCUUGAGUUUUGGGUUUUUUGCACUUAGAUGGCGAAGAUCCGUUUAUUAGUGAAAACCCCCCUAUGAAUUGCAAACGUUAGUUCUCUGUUAGUUGGUUGUGGGCACUUUGGUAAUCUCAUUUGACAAGCAAAAGUUUUACACUUUUUGGUUGACAUGAGCCAGUGAGUUGUCAAAUCAGUUUAAAAAUUUGUGUCUUAAUUUAUAAAGCAAAAUUUAUAAAACAAUUUAAAGUGGUAUUUUCUCUUUUGUGAAGCACGAUUGUGGCCUUUUCUGUUUCAACAAGCACGGUUAAGAGCUCUGUUUAGAAGGCAAUAAAAUAUUUUUUGUUGUAGAGUAGUAUCCAUUACUUGUGUAAAGUAAAUAAGAAGCACAAGACCUACAUUAUGUAUCGCUCUGAAUUUCGCUGAUGCUCCAGGAAUCCAAAUCGCUUUGUUGAAGCCGGUAAAAGGUUAGUCUCUUACAAUUUUUUUUUUUGGCCUAAUUUGGAGCGUUUUGAUACUACUCUAAGCGGAAAAUAUCGAGUGGGUGCUUGAUUUCUUGUUAAUUGACAUGAUUUUGAUGAGAUUUGUUUACUUUAAAGUAGUAAUACUCUUAUAAUAGCAUAUGUUAUCAAAUUACAUUACAAGUCCAUUAACUGUUAAAGACAUUUUCAACUUUUAUUUAGAAAGACGAGAAAAAAAAAAACUUAUCCAAAUGCACUUAGUCAUUUAUAAAAUAUUUGUUUCGGAAAUCAUUUUUUUCACGAUUGUUUGUAGAAAAUAGAAAACUAACUUUGAGAAACAAUACUAAACACCCUUGAAUAUUAUUUAAUGUUGUAAUGUAAUUAAUGGAUUAUCUUCUCACUUGUUUUAGGAUGAUUUGAACAUUGAUAUUAUAGUCACAUUCUUUGCAUUUGGUAUUUACUACAUUUUAGUUUUUUCUUUAAUAUAUGUAUCAUUUAUUUAUGUUGUUUUAUGGUAUUGCAGUGUGGUGUAUUAUGAUGUUGAAGUAGUAUUUUGGUUUAUAUGAUUUAUUGUUAG
RNAcentral lists this long non-coding RNA (27243 nucleotides) under Citrus sinensis (sweet orange). RNAcentral's name for it is "long non-coding RNA (CSIN_LNC001840)". Lineage: Eukaryota; Viridiplantae; Streptophyta; Magnoliopsida; Sapindales; Rutaceae. The record is from RNAcentral.